UUUUUUUUAAUGGAGAUGGAGUCUCACUAUGUUGUCCAGGCUGGUCUCGAGCUCCUGGCCUUAAGCAAUCACCUCGCUUCAGCCUCCCAAAGUGCUGGGAUCAAGGGUUUGAGCCACCAUAUGCCUGGACUUAAAAAAAACAACAACUCAUCAAAUAUUGAGGGCCUGUUUUGGCCAGACACUGUUUUAGAUGUUGGAGAUUCAGCAGUGAAUCAAUCAGAAUUCUUGCCCUCUUGGAUCAGGCUUUCUUUCACUCAGCAAUAUGCAGCUAAGGUUUUUCCACAAUUUCUCCUGGCCUGAUAGUGUGUUUCUUUUUGGUGUGGAAUAACAUUUCAUUGUGCGGUUCCAGCACACAGUUUGCUUAUCCAUUCACCUAUUAAAGGAUGUCUUAGCUGGGCACAGUGGCUCAUGCCUGUAAUCCCAGCACUUUGGGAGGCCGAGGUGGGCAGAUCACGAGGUUAGGAGUUCGAGACCAGCCUGGCCAACAUAGUGAAACCCCCGUCUCUACUAAAAAUACAAAAAAUUAGCUGGACGUGGUGGUAGGCGCCUGUAAUCCCAGCUACUUAGGAGGCUAAGGCAGGAGAAUUGAUUGAACCUGGGAGGCGGAGGUUGCAGUGAGCUGAGAUCAUGCCAUUGUACUCCAGCACAGGUGACAGUGCGAGACUCCGUCUCAAAAAACCCAAAAAAACAGGACAUCUUAGUUGCUUCCAAGCUUUAGCAUUUAUGAAUAAAGUUGCCAUAAGCCUUCAUGUGCAGGUUUUUGCAUGGAUAUAAAUCUCCAUCAUUUUAUUUUAUUUUAUUUUAUUUUUAAAUGAGACGGGGUGUGCCCAGGCUGGUCUUGAACUCCUGACCUCAAGCAAUCCACCCACCUUGGCCUUCCAAAGUGCUGAGAUUACAGGCAUGAGCCACUAUGGCCGGCCUUCAUUUUAUUUUUUAAAACUUAAUAGAGCUAAAGGGCUGAGGAAAUAAUGAGAAGCCAACCACUGAUGGAGGAUUCUGGAGGAAGUUCUGAUAGGCUGCAAGCCCCAAAGAUAGGGGCACCUUGGCAACAGUUCCUUUUUUUCUUUGUUCUUUCAGAUUUACUCAGCAAAUGACUCAAACACCAGUAAACUAAAAUAAAAAAAAAAAAGAAAGAAAGAAAGAGAGGAUUCACUGUCCAGUAACUUUCAAUAGCUGAUUUCUUACCCAUUUUGACUUUCUUCUGUUGCUCUUCUCAGGGGAGUCAAACAUCAAGAGGCUACAGGGCGCCGGGUGCGGUGGCUCACGUCUGUAAUGCCGGCACUUCAGGAGGUCGAGGCGGGCGGAUCAUCUGACGUCAGGAGUUUGAGACCAGCCUGGCCAACGUGGUGAAACCCUGUCUCUACUAAUAAUAAAAAACUAGCUGGGUGAGGUGGCUCAUGCCUGUAAUCCCAGCACUUUGGGAGGCCGAGGCAGGCAGAUCACUUGAGGUUAGGAGUUUGAAACCAGCCUUGCCAACAUGGUGAAACCCCGUCUCUACUAAAACUAUAAAAAUUAUCUGGGCGUGGUGGCACCUGCCUGUAAUCCCAGCUACUCUGGAGGCUGAGGCAGGAGAAUGGCUUGAAUCCGGGAGGCGGAGGUUGCUGUGAGCUGAGAUCGCGCCAUUGCACUCCAGCCUAGGCAACAGGAGCGAAACUCCGUUGUUUCGCUACAGGAAAUUCCAAAAAGAGGCUACAGGAAAUGUCAAUACCAGGCCAGAGAAGAAGGGUUCCCAAGUUUGCUGGAGGGUCUCAAGGCUUCCAGCUUUGUGGUUUUCGGCAUUUGGUUCUCUUUGACCAGAUCAUCAACUGUUGUGGGUGACCACGCCUCCUCACUCAUCACCUGUUUCUGAGCUUCUGUGAGAAAGAAUUUUCUGGCUGGGCGCGGUGGCUCACUCCUGUAAUCCCAGCACUUUGGGAGGCCGAGGUGGGUGGAUCAACUGAGGUCAGGAGUUCAAGACCAGCCUGGCCAACAUGGUGAAACCCCUUCUCUACUAAAUAUACAACAAAAAUUAGCCAGGCGUGGUGGAAGGUGCCUAUAAUCCCAGCUACUCGGGAGGCUGAGGCAGGAGAAUCGCUUGAACCUGGGAGGCAGAGGUUGCAGUGAGCCAAGAUCACGCCACUGCACUCGAGCCUGGGCAACAAGAGCGAAAAUCUGUCUCAAAAAAUAAAAUAAAAGGAAUUUUUGCUGUGUCUGUGGGAAGCCCAUCUUCACCCUGCCUGCCAUCAAAUGCACACAGAGAACAGAGUGCAGCCCUGUCGUGAAGGUAGAGGUGUCUGUGUGUGGAAGGGUUGACAUGUCCCACAUCCACCGCAAACCAUGUCUUCUUUUAUUUUUUAUUUUUUGAGACAGAGUCUCGCUCUGUAGCCCAGGCUGGAAUGUAGUGGCAGCGGUUUUGGCUCACUGCAACCUCUGUCUCCAAAGUUUCAGCAGUUCUCCUGCCUCAGCCUCCUGAGUAGCUGGGAUUACAGGCACGCGCCACCACACCCAGCUAAUUUUUUAUUAUUAGUAGAGACAGAGUUUCACCAUGUUGGCAAGGCUGGUCUCGAACUCCUAACCUCAGGUGAUCUGCCUUCCUCGGCCUCCCAAAGUGCUGGGAUUCCAGGCGUGAACCACCGCGCCUAGCCACAGACCACGUCUUCUUCCGUGACAAUUUACGGUUCCUGACUCAAGGAUGACUACCUCUCCCAGCACUUUGGAAGGCUGAGGCAGGAGGAUUACUUGAGCCCAGGAGUUCAAGACCAGCCUGGGCAACAAUAGUGAGACUUUGUUUCUACCAAAAAAAAAAAAAAAAAAAAACCGCUGGAUGUGUGGCACGCGCCUGUAGUCCUAGCUCCUUGGGAGGCUGAGGUGGAAGGUUCUCUUGAGCCUGGGAGGUCAAGGCUACAGUGAGCCAAAAUCAUGCCACUGCACUCCAGCCUGGGAGUGCAGGACCCCGUCUCAAAAACAAAAAAUGGGCCGGGCGAGGUGGCUCACGCCUGUAAUCCCGGCACUUUGGGAGGCCGAGGCAGGAGGAUCAUGAGGUCAGGAGAUCAAGACCAUCCUGGCUAACAUGGUGAAACCCCGUCUCUACUAAAAAUACAAAAAAUUAGCUGGGCGUGGUGGAGGGCACCUGUAGUCCCAGCUACUUGGGAGGCUGAGGCAGGAGAAUGGUGUGAACCCGGGAGGUGGAGCUUGCAGUGAGCUGAGAUCGCACCGCUGCACUCCAGCCUGGAUGACAGAGUGAGACUCCAUCUGAAAAAAAAAAAAAAAAAAAAAGUUGACUACUUUUGGGAGCUCCAAAUCUAAGAAGCAGGCUAUGAGAAAAUGGGCCUAAAGCCUCCUCAAAUCCAUAGCAAAUCAGGCAGGGUGGUCAUGUCAUUACUCCCAAGACAGAAACAGAUUUUCUCCUGUCCCAGUAUUGAUACAUUUCUUUCCACUGGGCUUUUCCUGUAUUUAAGUGAUGUGUUUUUGUUUUUAACACAAUUAUAAUCCUACUGUACAUGUAAGAUUAUGCGCUUUCAUUUAACAUUGUACUAUGAUGAUGUUUUCCAUGUUUUUUAAGUUUUUCAUAAAGUAUAACUUUUGUUGGUUGUAUCACAAUCUUUUUUUUCUUUUUUGAGAUGAGAUCCUCCUCUGUUGCCCAGUGGCAGUGCAGUGGCAUGAUCACGAUUUAUUGCAGCCUUGACGGCCCAGACUCAUGCAAUUCUCCCACCUCAGCUUCCUGAAUAACUGGGACCACAGGUGUGUACCACCAUGCCUGGCUAAUUUUUAUUUUAUUAUUUGUAGAGAUGAGGUUUUCCUAUGUUGUCCAGGUUGGUCUCCAACUCCUGGGAUCAAGCAAUCCUCCCGUCUCAGCCUUCCAAACUGCUUGGAUUAC
This 3856-nucleotide long non-coding RNA is filed under the name Homo sapiens (human). Its description in RNAcentral is "HSALNT0245262". The record is from RNAcentral. Lineage: Eukaryota; Metazoa; Chordata; Mammalia; Primates; Hominidae.